RNAcentral lists this ribosomal RNA (497 nucleotides) under uncultured bacterium. RNAcentral's name for it is "partial 16S ribosomal RNA". It matches the Rfam family "Bacterial small subunit ribosomal RNA", at positions 28 to 507 of the family's 1533-position model. The record is from RNAcentral.
GAUGAACGCUGGCGGCGUGCCUAAUACAUGCCAGUCGAGCGAACAGACGAGGAGCUUGCUCCUCUGACGUUAGCGGCGGACGGGUGAGUAACACGUGGAUAACCUACCUAUAAGACUGGGAUAACUUCGGGAAACCGGAGCUAAUACCGGAUAAUAUAUUGAACCGCAUGGUUCAAUAGUGAAAGACGGUUUUGCUGUCACUUAUAGAUGGAUCCGCGCCGCAUUAGCUAGUUGGUAAGGUAACGGCUUACCAAGGCAACGAUGCGUAGCCGACCUGAGAGGAUGAUCGGCCACACUGGAACUGAGACACGGUCCAGACUCCUACGGGAGGCAGCAGUAGGGAAUCUUCCGCAAUGGGCGAAAGCCUGACGGAGCAACGCCGCGUGAGUGAUGAAGGUCUUCGGAUCGUAAAACUCUGUUAUUAGGGAAGAACAAAUGUGUAAGUAACUAUGCACGUCUUGACGGUACCUAAUCAGAAAGCCACGGCUAACUACGUG